CCUCAAGGGAUGAUCCACAGAUAUCUCACAAAGAUUGCUGUUUCUUUCAGUUCCUUGGUUCCAUCUGAUCAAGGAGAUAGACAGACACCCUUUCAUCUCAGUGCAAGCAGACACAGAUAUCAAGGCAGCAGAAGGACUCCCAGUGGCUGCAUGGACUGCCGGGCCCAUGGAGACCAUGCUUGUUUCAGUCUUGUGUCUUAGCACUGGACCUUGGCUCAUCAAGGACAAAGCUCGGCCUGGCGCGUUCCUAACGGGAAUUGGCUCUAGAAGUUCCGGACUUUGUGCUUCUCACUGCUGUGCAGUAUUCCACUGUCACCCCCAAAGCCUCAUGCACUCUGAGGUGAGGCUUGUGGAAGGUGGUUGGAUUGAGAGGACACUACAGCUGACUUAGUGUUAGGAGAUGGGCCCUGAUCAGAAGAGGAGUCAUUGUGAGUAUGACCUGGAAGUGUGUACCCCCCACCCCCCGCUCCUCCCUUCUCUCUGCUUCCUGGCCACUAUGAGGUGAACAGCUUGUCCUCUACCAUGUCUCUCCGUCACGCUGUCCUGCCUUGGAGCCAGCUUACUAUGCACUGAAAUGUGAGCCAAAAUAAAGUUCUCUCCUUUUAAGUUGUAAGCAUCAGGUACUGUGUCGCAGCAAUGAGAAAGUGACUAUGACAAACAUAUGGACCAUUCUUAAAUUUGCUUGUUAUGAACCAAAUGCCUAUCUUGUGGUGAACAAAAGCACCCAUUUCUUUUGGACAUGUAUACCCAGCAGUAGACACCAUUAAACAAGGUAUAUGUAUGCCUAGUCUUAGUGGUGCUUCCAAAGCAGUUAUCUAUUGUACACUCCUACUAGCAUUUCUUAAUUGGAGUGUCUGUCUCUUGCUUAUUGAUUUGUAUAAUUUCUUACAUAUUUUAAAAAUUAUGGUCCUUUUUCUAAUAGAUGAGUUAUAAUUCUCUUGUCUCAGUCCAUAGUUUGUUUCUCUCAUAGUGUCUUUU
This 978-nucleotide long non-coding RNA is filed under the name Heterocephalus glaber (naked mole-rat). RNAcentral's name for it is "lncRNA (ENSHGLG00100038215.1)". Lineage: Eukaryota; Metazoa; Chordata; Mammalia; Rodentia; Bathyergidae. The record is from RNAcentral.